AUUGAACGCUGGCGGCAGGCUUAACACAUGCAAGUCGAGCGGGGUGAUGGUGCUUGCACUAUCACUUAGCGGCGGACGGGUGAGUAAUGCUUAGGAAUCUGCCUAUUAGUGGGGGACAACAUCUCGAAAGGGAUGCUAAUACCGCAUACGUCCUACGGGAGAAAGCAGGGGAUCACUUGUGACCUUGCGCUAAUAGAUGAGCCUAAGUCGGAUUAGCUAGUUGGUAGGGUAAAGGCCUACCAAGGCGACGAUCUGUAGCGGGUAGGAGAGGAUGAUCCGCCACACUGGGACUGAGCCACGGCCCAGACUCCUACGGGAGGCAGCAGUGGGGAAUAUUGGACAAUGGGGGGAACCCUGAUCCAGCCAUGCCGCGUGUGUGAAGAAGGCCUUAUGGUUGUAAAGCACUUUAAGCGAGGAGGAGGCUCUUUUGGUUAAUACCCAAGAUGAGUGGACGUUACUCGCAGAAUAAGCACCGGCUAACUCUGUGCCAGCAGCCGCAGUAA
Molecule: ribosomal RNA, 503 nt
Filed under: uncultured bacterium
Lineage: Bacteria
Description: partial 16S ribosomal RNA
Rfam family: Bacterial small subunit ribosomal RNA
Source: RNAcentral